GAACAAGAUAAAAAGGAAACUCAGUUUCAUUUCAUGGUACAGCAUGAAAUAGCAUUAGAUGACUAGAUAUCAUUUCCAGGCUGAACAGCAGUCAUUCUUUGGGCAUAUUUUUUAAAAAUUGAACAAAAUAUUUCUGUAUGCUGCUCACAUUGAUGAUGUAGUUUUAUUAUAUCUUGCCAUGACAUUUUAGUAAGUUUUAAAAUAAUGCUGAAUCUAUUGUUGACUUCCACAGAAAAAGCAUUGGACUUGCAUCUUUUAAUAAAAGCUGAAUCAUGACAUCAUUCUCUACAGCAGAAACACCAUUACCUAAUUUAAACUGUAUUGUCCAUGCAUGAUACUUACUUUAACCUCUGGAAUUCAGCAAAGGCUUCAUCAAAUGCUUAAAAGAAGAAAAGGGUUAUAAAAGGGUUAUUUUUAUAGCACCAGUUUGUGGUAUAAGAAAGCUUAUUUAGUUUUCUAUGGAUUAACAGUAGGUUGAAAUCUUUGUUUAAAAUGGUGGCAGUAAUUAAAAUUAUAUCAUACAAAACUGACAAAUCUGAUCCACUAUAUGGCAGAACCGUCACUUUGCAAUGUAUCUCAAGCUAUUCCUAAUGAUACUGCAGCUUUGUAAGAUGCAUUCAUUAGUGUUUGGGACUGAUGGAAGAUUGGCUGGAUUUAAAGGUGUCAUGGAACCUUGAGAAGACUCUCACUAACAAGGAGGAAUGAGAAUUGUUCCACCCAAAAAAAUCCCAUUGAACAGCAGGACUUGCUUCUGAGUAAAUAUGCACAGGACUAGGAUCGAGAGAGACAGUUUUCUUUCUUUUUUUCUGAAGGAUACUUGGUUGUACACUAAAACAGAGAACUGGAAGAAGGGAGGGGGGCGGGGGCGGGCGGGCACCUGAACACAAUUUCUUUAACUUAAUAUUGCAUGCUGCUUAUUCUCCCUGCAGUACCAGAACAGCCCUGGUCUGAUCCUGUCGUUUCACGGCUUAUGAUGUUGUGGCAGCACAGUGCUAGCACACUGUCACACUUCUGCUACUGAAGCAAAACUGAAACUAAGAAGCAAAGCCCAGCUUUCUCCCUUCUUCUCUCUCUCACACACAAACAUGCUCAAGGACAUUUGUAAGGCAGGAUGGAAACUGAUUAAUUCUCAUAGGAGCAACUGCCAGUUUGGAUAUUCAGGAUAUGUGGGACAGUGUUCCAGCUCAACUUUGGGCUACAGGUUUGAAUGACCCCAAGAACUUGGCCUAAAUUUCAUCACAUUUAGCUGGGAGAGUGAGGAUAUGCUUGAUUUGCAGGUCCUUCCUAAAAAAAAAUCAUAAAGUACCCACUAAUCAUUUAGCUCACAAUCUCCUGGGGGAUGGGAAGGAAUAUAGUAAGUGCUGGAGCCCUGAAACUGCACACCUCUCACAAGUGAGGUACAGGAAUGCAACGCUAUUUUUAAAACUGCAACUAACUGGGCCUCAGGAGGAAAAAAAAUCAGUUUUAGAAUGGGAAAUAACUGAAAAAGCCAGGAAAUCACUGAACAACUUAUAGGAAGGAAGUGAUGAUGUCACGGACACCUCAUAUCACUGGCAAGAGCUUGUUCACUUACUUGUGCAACCAGCUUAUUCUCAGAUCUUCCAAGUAGUAAUUAACAAAGGAAUAUAAUCGGAUACCCUCUUCUGUGCUCUGGAUUUUCAGGUUUGUUGCAGAUAAAGCUGAAAAUACAAUACUUUUUUUGUAGUCUCGCAGUCGUUUGCAAAGUAGUACAAAUGAGUCAUUUAUCAGGAAGGGAAAUUAAAUACUCACCAAUCAUUUUGCAUACUUCCGUCAUCAAAUCUGCAAAAGCUGUGGAAACAAAUCCAGAGACUCAGUUCCCAGAUCAGACAUGUCUGCUUAUAACUGAACGGUGCCCUGAAAUUCCCUGGCUAAUCUGGAGCAGUCCUACAAAUGGAUUCUUGUAGUUAAAUCUGAGCUGACUCUCAAAACAUGCUAUAAAUAUUUCCAAGGCAUUUCUGUGCAUUAUCCUUAAGUUUAAUGUUGUUUCAACCCCUUUACUUCUGUUUAGUUUUGCUGAGGAUGUUGCCAGCUUUAUCUUGCAAUCUGAGAUGUGAAUAUGAGUUUCCCAUGACAUCACAAGAUAUAUCUCUUGGAAGUAAUGCUGUCGCUACUGCUAUUAAUGCUUUAGCUACUUUGGCUUCUAGAUAGAGAAUUCAACCUUGGAAAAUGGAAAGUGUUCACAGUAUGAAUUAGAUUUAGAAAAUUUCUGGAAUGAUAGAAGUUCCUUCUAGAUUAAUAUGGGCUUAGUCCAUAGAGAGAACAAUCCUAAACCCCAGAAUUGAUGGCUUUAUGAAUGUCUGCAAAGCCACAGAAGCCCCUCUGCCAGAGAUGGUGGGCACCUUUUCCUUGGAGGCUCCAGCUAUGUCCACAGACAGCUCCAUGGAUGUAAAUCUACUCUACUGAUGUUCCUGCUGGAAGCAGGCCCUAAAAUGGAGUACUCCAAGACAGCUUUGAAUCUGCCUUAUCUGAAGGUAGUUCAUUUCCCCAGUGGGCUCCACCUGUGGACCUCUCAGCUACACCAGCCUGAAGCUGGAAGUCCGUGCUAUUAUUUAAAUUGUUAGAAGGGAUGUAAAACAAACAAAGAAUCACUAGGUUAAAAAGCCCAGUAAAGACCCCUUACUUCCCACCCUGGUCAGAAUGAGCCACCAGGACUCGGAAGUGAUGGAUGCUCUGCCAUUUUGCCCAGCCUCCAUGUGCUCUCUGAGUAGCUGUGCUGGCUGGCUGGCUGGCUGAAUGAAUGAAUGCUAUCACUUCCAGUGAUGUUAUUCAAUAUAAAAAACCAGGAAAAUGGAUAACUCAAUCUGUGCUACCCUUAAGUCAUUAUGAAAUUAAGGCCACAAUCCUCUUCAAAAUUGGUCGUUAGCAAGCCAGACUGAAUUUAGCAAAGCUUAUUUCUAAAUCAGCAUUCACAGAACUGGGCUACACAGAAUUGGGCUGUAAUUUGGAAUGACAUUCUCACCUCCUUCUUGAAGCUUCAAUAUGCUCUUGUCCUUUCCUCGGUCAUCUUUCAGUAUUACUUCAUAAACACCAGCAUCUUUCUUAGAAAACUAUGAACAAAACAAUAUCAGUUACUAGCAAUAAAACAAUUCUUUUGGACAUUCUGUAUGUGACCUCUGGAGAUAAUAAAAAAGGACUAUGAAAGAAAUCAAAAGAUGCCUUUAUUGGAAUUUGAAUGUAUACAUUAUUAUUUCUGCACUGCAGAAAAGUUCCUAACCUUUUAUUCAUGCAAUAGCCUGUUAAAGGACAAGAAUGUGAAAUAUAGUGAGAGCAGAGGCCUGACAUAUGAACUUGGGUUUAGGGGGCAGAAUGAUGGUGGAUGUAAGGGAAAUUGGAUCCCUAAAUAAUAAUAAAAAAAUAGAAGGUAGCACAAUACACAGAACAUGGAGCUAUAAAAUAUGAGCAGCCACAUUGGCUCAUCAUGCUCAGCCACCCUGCAAGUAAGCUAAUGGUUUCCCCUCCUAUCUUUUCUGGAAACCAUGAUCUCCAACGUACCCUACAAAGGUAAAGUAGCAGCUGGUUUUUGAAAACAUAAAACAAAGGUAGAAUAUGCUGUUCCACACAUUCAACACAGCCCAGUGUAUCAGCCAGCAUAUGCAUUGUGGAGUAAAUGCAUAGAUUAUAUUCACAUCCUGAUACAUUUUGCUGCUUGAAAAAAGCACCCUGACGAUAUCUGACAAUCAGUCUGACACAGUCUGUGCACUGUUCUCUCUGAAAGUGCUGUUCAUUUAAGAAAACUGGCACAGCUAAAGUGGACUUCAUCACUGAAGUGGACCGCAAGGGAGAAAGGAUCACUCACCUCUGUUAUCAGCAGAGUACAUACACCAUCCUGAAAGUCAUGUUUUUCAUCAACCAUAAUCUCUCUUUCAUCUUUGUACCAAAUAAUGUAUGUUUCUUUUUUAAUAUUAGCUACCUAAAAUGAAAGGAAAGUAUAGUAAGAUGGCUGGACAAAAUAUGAUUCACAAUCAAUAUGUCAGAUGACCAGUUCUUCAUAGCAGCCUCAAUAAAACAAGCAGGAAAUGAGAAUGGAUGGCUCAUUCUAUUAUUGGGCUACUUUCUUCAGGCAGUUAACAAGCAUCCUAUAUUUUUAAAGAAAUUAUUACCAGUUAAUUUCAAAAGGAGCAAAAGCAAUGUUACAAUAGUGAGGUACUUAUACCCUGGGGAAUGAUGGCCUGCCACAAUUUACUCUCUUCUGCUCUGAAGCAAUGUAAUGCUAUUUCAAAGAAUAGUGAGAUGCAUGUGAAAGCUAUUAUUGUGACCCUCAGUUAGGAUGUAAGAGAAGUGUCCUCAAAUCUAUAAAUGCCUCUGAGAAGUAGUUGACUAUAAACAAAACUUGUAUUUGUUACUCUUGCCUCGAGUCCGAGAUGCAGUUCUUUCUUACCUUGCAUUUCAAUAAAACAUUGCAUUCAGCGGUAACUUCCCAUCCCAGAUACUCAACAAAAUGUGGACCUUUUUGAAAAGAUUUGAAAAUCAAUCAGCUCAGAAAUUAUGACAAACAGAAUCAAAUGACUGUUUCAUGCUAAAGUUAAUUUUCUCUCUGUAUGCUUUAUAUUUUCUAAAUUUUACUUUGCUAUCAUUCGGCAAAGGCACAUUCUUUUUUUAAUUGCAAAUACAAGAAUCUAAAUUAAAUUAGCUAAACUGUUUCUAAGAGGUUAUGUGUUACCUUGCUUCCUGAACCAUUCUUGCCUCUGGAAUUGUGCUUCAUUCUGUAGUUUCUGGAACACUAGGGAUUGAAAAGGAGAAGAUCAAAAUAAAGCUAUAGUUGAAAGAUUA
This is a long non-coding RNA of Varanus komodoensis (Komodo dragon), 4791 nucleotides long. RefSeq lists it as uncharacterized. NCBI's taxonomy places the organism in Eukaryota, Metazoa, Chordata, Lepidosauria, Squamata, Varanidae. The record is from RefSeq and is a predicted model, not a curated record. The transcript has 3 exons.